AAACUUCUUUUCUUUCGCCCCUUCUUUUCCUUCUAAGCUAUUUUCUUUUCUUAUAUUUAACAUUUAAUAUUUCACACUAUAAUAAUAAUAAAGCUCUGUCUCGUUUUAAGUAUUGUAACUCCCGAUCACCGCUACCCUUUCCGAUUGAUCUGAGUCCCAUAACGCAUGUCAAGGCUCUGCCCGACUAAGUUCGUUGGAUUCUAUCUCGGGACUUCGGGACAAGGUUGAAUUAGGGGUACUAUACUUAACACGAGUACAUUAUAUAUUUUUUUUUUUUAGCCCAGAAGUUAUACCCAAAAUUUAUACCAGGAGGUUUUCUAGUUGAACCCUAAAGUUACAAAGUGGGUCCAUUCUCUUUUCUCAUCGUUUUAUUUCCUUUUUUUGAUUUACCCAAAACUAUUAUUAUUUUAUUUUAUCAAAAGUCAUAUCUAUUAUUCUUACCCAAUAGGAAACCCUAGUUGAGACCCCCAAGUAAUUCUACACAAUGCCUAAAAUUUUCAGAAUAAACAGAAUCAGGAUCAGGGCCCCUAAAACUCAAGGGGGGGUUAAACCUAGUGGACGAUUAUCCUAAAAACGCGUUGCCUGAAUCUGAUUGGUCGAAUCUGUUGAUUCAGCAUAGCUAGUCCCAUGCGUGGCAACCCUAUAGUCGGUUCCAACCCUUUACGGACCGUAAAGGGUUAGGCUUACAGUCCGUAAGCAGGAGCAAAUUCGUGUAUAAAUAGCAGGCUUCGGGACUUGCUUUUGGGCACAAAAACGACGCUCAAAUUCCAAAUUGACGUCGAGUUAUACUUCUUCUACGACUCAAACACACACCUCGAAACGCUGCCGCAAUCAGGGUAUUAACUCAAUCGCUGUUCAAUUCUUUUCUUUCCGUCAAGCUUUUAUAGCUCGGGAUUUUACCCUCAAAAUCCCUAAACUCUGCCCGUUAUUAGGGUAAUAACUCUAAUCACUGGUACGAUACUUUAUCCGAUCGAUUAUAACUAUCCAACGAUUGUCUAAGUGUUGCUCAAAUUGAGUUAUACUUUGUUAUUCAUUGUGAUUUCAACUUGAAUGUUUGAGUGCUGUCCAAACUCGGACUAUACUCUGUCAUUCGUUGUGAAUCCGCUGAAUUAUUAAGUAUUGCACUUGUAAAUCGUUGUGAGGGUUUUAUCUCGUGAUUAUCGUUAAAGUUGAAUUGAGUUAAUACAUUAAUACGAGUUCUUGUGUCUAGAAAUUAGAACUCAUAAUCAGUAAGCUGUUAAACUAGUAUAUCAAACUUAGCAGUUAAGUUAACUGAGUAGAUUAAUUAAUUUGUUUAGUAUAAUUAAUUAAUCAGUUAAUUAAUAUUAAUUAAGCUAAGCAAGAUUAAUUAAGCUAAGUAAGUUAUUUAGUUAAAUAGUUAAGGAAACUUAAUAGUUAAGGAAACUUAAUAGUUAAGGAAACUUAAUGGUUAAGGAAACUUCCUAGCUAAGGAAUAAAUCUACAUAUAAAUAGGAAGCUUAGGAUUCAUUCUUCUUUGCUCAUUUCUUUCUUCUUCUCUCUAUACGUUGGUGUUCUAACCAAUAAUCAUUCAAUCGCUAUUACGAUUCAUUUUCCGACCAAUCAAUAUAUCCAAUGAAUGUUUAAGUGCCGCCCAUAUUAGGGUUAUACUUUGUCGUUCGUCGUUAAUUCGAUGAAUGUUUAAGUAUCGCACUUUGUCGUUCGUUGUGAGAAUUUGAUCUCGUGAGUUAUCGUAAAAGCUGUAUUGAUCAUUAACCCGGUUUUUGUGAAAUUCGUUAAGGUUCGAAUCUCAUAACUUCCGUUAAGGUUUGAUUUGGGUUUUUACACCAAUACGUAUUCCAUUCUGUUAAACUAUGUAUUUAACUACCAAGAAUACUCACAACUACACCCUUACAAUCAAACAAACUAUUAAAUCAUCAGAAGAUCCAGAAUAAUAAAGUGCAUGCUUAAUUAUCGGAAGAAGUAGAAUCAAGAAGUUUGUUAACUCAAUCCUGCAUGCUGAUUUGGUUACUUUACUGGUUUAACAGACAAGGUAAAAGAACAUAUUUCCAUUUUUUACAGUGCCCAGGUGAUCAUUUAUGGCGGUAUUCCAGCUGAGAAGGUUUACACUAUCCUUCACAUUUAUAUAUAUAUAUUUUUGAAAAAUUGCUGGCUGAGUGGAUUUAGUUCUAAAGAUGUAUGGAUGAUGAUUUACAAGAAUUUGGAAGCAUGGCACUCAUGUCAGUACACACAUGGCUAUAAU
RNAcentral lists this long non-coding RNA (2221 nucleotides) under Helianthus annuus (common sunflower). RNAcentral's name for it is "hypothetical non coding rna". The record is from RNAcentral. Lineage: Eukaryota; Viridiplantae; Streptophyta; Magnoliopsida; Asterales; Asteraceae.